This 726-nucleotide long non-coding RNA is filed under the name Malus domestica (apple). RNAcentral's name for it is "long non-coding RNA (MDOM_LNC006021)". Lineage: Eukaryota; Viridiplantae; Streptophyta; Magnoliopsida; Rosales; Rosaceae. The record is from RNAcentral.
AAGUAGAAAAUCUUCAAAACCCUAGCACUUCUCUCUGUCUCCAAUAUUGCAUAAAAUAAAGCGUAGUCGAAAAUUGUAGACGGCUAAGCAAUAUAUUUGCUAAGCCACCACACAAACCCUAGCAAAACUAAAAUUAAUAAAAACCCUAAAGAAAAAUAGUAAAAUUCGUCUAAAAUCUGAACAGCCACGUUUUGGCCCAUAAGCUACUCCAAAACUGGCCCAAUAUAGCUGGAUUUGAUGUUUGGAAUAUUCUGAACACUUUUCCAGAAGGCCAUGAACCCAUCCGAGGUCAUCUUGGGCUCCAAAAACGCAAUUUAAGCCCAAAAACGUCAUUUUCCAGCACUGCGCACUGCUUCUUUAUUUCAUCUUCAGAAAAUAACCGCUUAGUAGAAAAAUCCCAAAUUUUGAUACGAUCAAGCUAAGUGACUCACGAAUGUCCUCCAACUGGAAUUACUCCAAAAUUCGUCCAUUUGGUCCUGUUUUGCUCCAGAGGAAGUCGAAAGUCCUAUAUUGAAAAUACAAUUCAAAGUAUCAAAAUUCUUCCAAUAUAUUAACCAAAAUACACUAAGAUUAGGGUAAAAUAUAUAAUAUAAAAUCUACUCAUCAACUAUUAAAGAGAGUUAUAAACAUGGAUGAAAAUUUGAUUUACUCUUUGGUGUAUGCUUGGUUGUGGUUAUAAUUUAUGAAUUCACAUGCAAUCAUAAAAGGAAAAAUCAGUUUUUGUAA